GGGGAAUAUUGCACAAUGGGGGAAACCCUGAUGCAGCGACGCCGCGUGGAGGAAGAAGGUCUUCGGAUUGUAAACUCCUGUUGUUGGGGAAGAUAAUGACGGUACCCAACAAGGAAGUGACGGCUAACUACGUGCCAGCAGCCGCGGUAAAACGUAGGUCACAAGCGUUGUCCGGAAUUACUGGGUGUAAAGGGAGCGCAGGCGGGAAGACAAGUUGGAAGUGAAAUCUAUGGGCUCAACCCAUAAACUGCUUUCAAAACUGUUUUUCUUGAGUAGUGCAGAGGUAGGCGGAAUUCCCGGUGUAGCGGUGGAAUGCGUAGAUAUCGGGAGGAACACCAGUGGCGAAGGCGGCCUACUGGGCACCAACUGACGCUGAGGCUCGAAAGUGUGGGUAGCAAACAGGAUUAGAUACCCUGGUAGUCCACACCGUAAACGAUGAUUACUAGGUGUUGGAGGAUUGACCCCUUCAGUGCCACAGUUAACACAAUAAGUAAUCCACCUGGGGAGUACGACCGCAAGGUUGAAACUCAAAGGAAUUGACGGGGGCCCGCACAAGCAGUGGAGUAUGUGGUUUAAUUCGACGCAACGCGAAGAACCUUACCAAGUCUUGACAUCCCUUGACGAACAUAGAAAUAUGUUUUCUCUUCGGAGCAAGGAGACAGGUGGUGCAUGGUUGUCGUCAGCUCGUGUCGUGAGAUGUUGGGUUAAGUCCCGCAACGAGCGCAACCCUUAUGGUCAGUUACUACGCAAGAGGACUCUGGCCAGACUGCCGUUGACAAAACGGAGGAAGGUGGGGAUGACGUCAAAUCAUCAUGCCCUUUAUGACUUGGGCUACACACGUACUACAAUGGCGUUAAACAAAGAGAAGCAAGACCGCGAGGUGGAGCAAAACUCAGAAACAACGUCCCAGUUCGGACUGCAGGCUGCAACUCGCCUGCACGAAGUCGGAAUUGCUAGUAAUCGUGGAUCAGCAUGCCACGGUGAAUACGUUCCCG
RNAcentral lists this ribosomal RNA (995 nucleotides) under uncultured bacterium. Its description in RNAcentral is "bacterial SSU rRNA". It matches the Rfam family "Bacterial small subunit ribosomal RNA", at positions 356 to 1376 of the family's 1533-position model. The record is from RNAcentral.